Molecule: ribosomal RNA, 384 nt
Filed under: uncultured bacterium
Lineage: Bacteria
Description: bacterial SSU rRNA
Rfam family: Bacterial small subunit ribosomal RNA
Source: RNAcentral
AUUGAACGCUGGCGGCAUGCCUUACACAUGCAAGUCGAACGGCAGCGCGGGGCAACUUGGCGGCGAGUGGCGAACGGGUGAGUAAUAUAUCGGAACGUGCCCUGGAGUGGGGAUAACGUAGCGAAAGUUACGCUAAUACCGCAUACGAUCUCAGGAUGAAAGCAGGGGACCUUCGGGCCUUGUGCUCCUGGAGCGGCCGAUAUCUGAUUAGCUAGUUGGUGGGGUAAAAGCCUACCAAGGCGACGAUCAGUAGCUGGUCUGAGAGGACGACCAGCCACACUGGAACUGAGACACGGUCCAGACUCCUACGGGAGGCAGCAGUGGGGAAUUUUGGACAAUGGGGGGCAACCCUGAUCCAGCAAUGCCGCGUGUGUGAAGAAGGCC